RNAcentral lists this ribosomal RNA (906 nucleotides) under Fonsecaea minima. RNAcentral's name for it is "LSU rRNA". It matches the Rfam family "Eukaryotic large subunit ribosomal RNA", at positions 36 to 964 of the family's 3401-position model. The record is from RNAcentral. Lineage: Eukaryota; Fungi; Ascomycota; Eurotiomycetes; Chaetothyriales; Herpotrichiellaceae.
UAGCAUAUCAAUAAGCGCAGGAAAAGAAACCAACAGGGAUUGCCUCAGUAACGGCGAGUGAAGCGGCAACAGCUCAAAUUUGAAAUCUGGCCUCUCGGGGUCCGAGUUGUAAUUUGUAGAGGAUGUUUCGGGUACCGCCUCGGUUUAAAUUUCUUGGAACAGAAUGUCAAAGAGGGUGAGAAUCCCGUCUUGGACCGGUGGUAGGGCCUAUGUGAAACUCCUUCGACGAGUCGAGUUGUUUGGGAAUGCAGCUCAAAAUGGGUGGUAAAUUUCAUCUAAAGCUAAAUAUUGGCCAGAGACCGAUAGCGCACAAGUAGAGUGAUCGAAAGAUGAAAAGCACUUUGAAAAGAGAGUUAAACAGUAUGUGAAAUUGUUGAAAGGGAAGCGCUUGCAACCAGACUUGAGCGCGGCGGUUCCCCCUUGCUUCUGCUUGGGUUACUCCGCCGUGUCCAGGCCAACAUCGGUUCUGGGGGUCGGUCAAAGGCUCUGGGAAUGUAUCUACCCACGGGUAGACUUAUAGACCAGGGUGUCAUGCGACCUCCCGGGACCGAGGAACGCGCUUCGGCUCGGAUGUUGGCGUAAUGGUUGUCAGCGACCCGUCUUGAAACACGGACCAAGGAGUCUAACAUCUAUGCGAGUGUUUGGGUGUCAAACCCGGAACGCGGAAUGAAAGUGAACGGAGGUAGGAAGCUUCGGCUGCACUAUCGACCGAUCCUGAAGUUUACGGAUGGAUUUGAGUAAGAGCAUAGCUGUUGGGACCCGAAAGAUGGUGAACUAUGCCUGAAUAGGGUGAAGCCAGAGGAAACUCUGGUGGAGGCUCGCAGCGGUUCUGACGUGCAAAUCGAUCGUCAAAUUUAGGUAUAGGGGCGAAAGACUAAUCGAACCAUCUGGUAGCUGGUUCUGCGA